This 768-nucleotide ribosomal RNA is filed under the name Dryadomyces sulphureus. RNAcentral describes it as "Raffaelea sulphurea partial large subunit ribosomal RNA". It matches the Rfam family "Eukaryotic large subunit ribosomal RNA", at positions 91 to 883 of the family's 3401-position model. The record is from RNAcentral. Lineage: Eukaryota; Fungi; Ascomycota; Sordariomycetes; Ophiostomatales; Ophiostomataceae.
GAGUGAAGCGGCAACAGCUCAGAUUUGGAAUCUGGCCCCCCCCGGGGGGUCCGAGUUGUAAUCUGGAGAGGAUGCUUCUGGCGCGGCGCCCGGCGAGUUCCCUGGAACGGGACGCCAGAGAGGGUGAGAGCCCCGUACGGCGGGACGCCGCGCCUCUGCGAAGCUCCUUCGACGAGUCGAGUAGUUUGGGAAUGCUGCUCCAAACGGGAGGUAAAUUUCUCCUAAAGCUAAAUACCGGCCGGAGACCGAUAGCGCACAAGUAGAGUGAUCGAAAGAUGAAAAGCACUUUGAAAAGAGGGUCAAACAGUACGUGAAAUUGUUGAAAGGGAAGCGCCCGUGGCCAGACUCGCGCCCCGCGGACCACCCGGCGGACUCCGCCGGGGCACGCCGCGGGGCGCGGGCCAGCAUCGGCCCCCGCAGGGGGACAAGGGCGGCGGGAACGUGGCUCCUCUGGGAGUGUUACAGCCCGCCGCGCCAUGCCCCUGGGGGGGCCGAGGACCGCGCUUCGGCAAGGAUGCUGGCGUAAUGGCCACCGGCGACCCGUCUUGAAACACGGACCAAGGAGUCAAGCAUUGGGGCGAGUGUCCGGGUGGCAAACCCGCACGCGCAAUGAAAGUGAACGUAGGUGGGAGCUUCGGCGCACCACCGACCGAUCCUGAUGUCCUCGGAUGGAUUUGAGUAAGAGCCCCACCGCUUGGACCCGAAAGAUGGUGAACUAUGCCUGAAUAGGGUGAAGCCAGAGGAAACUCUGGUGGAGGCUCGCAGCGG